Molecule: ribosomal RNA, 875 nt
Filed under: uncultured bacterium
Lineage: Bacteria
Description: bacterial SSU rRNA
Rfam family: Bacterial small subunit ribosomal RNA
Source: RNAcentral
AACGAACGUUAGCGGCGCGCCUAACACAUGCAAGUCGUGCGAGAAAGGGCUUCGGCCCCGGUACAGCGGCGCACGGGUGAGUAACACGUAGGUCAUCUACCCUUGAGUGGGGGAUAACCCUCCGAAAGGAGGGCUAAUACCGCAUGACGCCGGCAACGGCCAAAGCGGGCCUCUCCAUGGAAGCUCGCGCUUGAGGAUGAGCCUGCGGCCCAUCAGCUAGUUGGUAGGGUAACGGCCUACCAAGGCAAAGACGGGUAGCUGGUCUGAGAGGAUGGUCAGCCACACUGGAACUGAGACACGGUCCAGACUCCUACGGGAGGCAGCAGUGGGGAAUCUUGCGCAAUGGGCGAAAGCCUGACGCAGCGACGCCGCGUGAGCGAUGAAGGCCUUCGGGUUGUAAAGCUCUGUGGGGAGGAAAGAAUAAGGGCGUGCUAAUACCACGUCUGAUGACGGUACCUCCUUAGCAAGCACCGGCUAACUCUGUGCCAGCAGCCGCGGUAAGACAGAGGGUGCAAACGUUGUUCGGAAUCACUGGGCGUAAAGGGCGUGUAGGCGGCUUGGAAAGUCGGAUGUGAAAGCCCGCGGCUCAACCGCGGAAGUGCACCCGAUACUACCGAGCUAGAGUCCCGGAGAGGAUGGUGGAAUGCUUGGUGUAGAGGUGAAAUUCGUAGAUAUCAAGCGGAACACCGGUGGCGAAGGCGGCCAUCUGGACGGUGACUGACGCUGAGACGCGAAAGCGUGGGGAGCAAACAGGAUUAGAUACCCUGGUAGUCCACGCCGUAAACGAUGAGUGCUAGGUGUCACGGGCUUUGACCCUCGUGGUGCCGAAGCUAACGCGUUAAGCACUCCGCCUGGGGAGUACGGCCGCAAGGCUA